UGUUCAAUUAAAGUUCCAUUAUAAAAUAGUAUUGCAAAAUUACGUGUUCAUAUAUGCUCCAGCAUCCUGACUGAUUCAUGCAUAACAAAAUCUGGCAGCCAAGUGGCACUUAUAGUUCAGUACUUAGAUGCUGAAAUCAAAGGUUGGUGAAGUGAUGUCCUCUCCUGCCAUCACUCUGUCACCUGACAAGACAGUCUUAAAUGCUGCAGCUUUGAUGCUUAAGAUGAAGAUCCAUAGGGUACCAGUCAUAAAUGAAAAACAGCAAGUUGUAGGAAUGGUUACUCGGACUGACAUAUUCCAGGCACUAGAAACUCAGGUGGUAUAAGCUCUCUGCUUCAUAAGAAUGCUCAUCUCCUGUCUAAAUAUGAAAAUAGGUGUAAAUAUGAAAAUAAGUUAAAGAUGCACAUAAAAACUGUGCAGCCAUGACUUUGUGACUCCUAAUUGCAUAUUGGAUGAUAUAUUCUCUUCUUUUCUUUGUGAUGCAACUGUCUUUGUGGUGGACCGAUAAUCGUAUUUGAGCAAUACAAUUUGAUGCUUAGAAUGUGA
This is a non-coding RNA of Elaeis guineensis (African oil palm), 546 nucleotides long. The record is from RefSeq and is a predicted model, not a curated record. Lineage: Eukaryota; Viridiplantae; Streptophyta; Magnoliopsida; Arecales; Arecaceae.